UUAUUUGAAAAAUAAGUAAAAGAAAGAUACAGAAAUAAUUUGCCAUUAUUAAAAGAGAAAGAAAAACUUUAAAUUGUUGAUUUUUUUUAUUUGUUUAAAAAAUGUCAUGUUUGUGUAUGAGUGCGCCUGCAGGGGCAUUUGAUUCCUAGUUUGGAAUGUUUCUAGGGUUCUACCCUUUGACACAAGAUGGACCAUACUGUUCCGAGAGAGAAAGACGUUGAAUUUGACCUUGAAAGUGGUGGGAACACUAGCGAAGAGGAUGUAGGAAAGGAUCGUUAUGUUAGUGAUAAAGAAUCAAAGGGUGCUUUGAUUUGGGCGGGGAAUGGGAUUCCGAAUAUUGAUGGAACAGAUAAGGGUAAAACUGAGAUUGAGUCAUUUAGAAAUUCUGCAAAAUCUGGAGAUGUUAUGAUUAUAGAUGAAAAUAGUUUAGAAGUGUUUAUGGAUAGGGCUUUUGUUCAACAGCAAUGGUCUAAUGUACAUGGUAACCAUCACAAACAAAAGAUUAAGCCCUUUCACCCCAAAAAGCCUCCAAAGCCACCCCUUCCUCCCACAGGUCCUUCACUAGAUGCUGGUGAUCAGAAGUUUGUCAAGGAACUUGCUGAGCUUGCCUUGAGAAAGCGCGCAAGGGUUAAGAAAAUGAAAGCAGUGAGAAAGAUGAAAGCAAACAAGUCAUCAUCAUCAUCAACUUAUACCAAUCUUUCUGCCAUGGUCAUCACUGUUUUCUUCUUCCUUGUCAUAAUACUCCAUGGAAUCAGAUCUGUGAGUAGUGCUACUGUUGGGGUAAUUGAUUCCCCUGAGGCUAAAUUUGCGGCAGAUGAAAGCUUGAUUUCUGUUCGCUUUCCCACGAGCUUCAAUUCGAAUGAAGUAAACGUACCUGCCUUUCAUUCAUCAAUUUGAUAGUUCUCCUACUGUCUUAUAUUGCAGCAGUUCUGCAAGAAAGAUGAUAUGCAAAUUUUGAAGGUUCCUUUCCCUUUCAAUGUGAGAACAUAGAUUAUUCUUAAAUGGUCGCCCUCACCCAUUAGAUUUCUACUUCCCUAAAGUGAGAGAUUACCUUGACGAAGGAAUAGAAUGAAUUAUUAAUAGUUGUUGAUAAAGAAAUAACUGUCCAAGUUAUAACAAAUGCAUCUUUUCUUAUCCAUGCUUUUA
This is an RNA transcript of Vigna unguiculata (cowpea), 1146 nucleotides long. RefSeq lists it as uncharacterized. The record is from RefSeq and is a predicted model, not a curated record. NCBI's taxonomy places the organism in Eukaryota, Viridiplantae, Streptophyta, Magnoliopsida, Fabales, Fabaceae.